AGUCCCGCCCACGCGCCUUUGGAGGCUGCGGUGGGAUUUCCUUUUGCCUUCGGUUGGGGCUGCUGUUUCUCUUCGCCGACGGUGCCUUCAGCCGCUACAAGAGCAGAAGCAGUGGGCAUUGGAUGGAGCUGAGUACAGGACCAUACAGGCUAAUUGCACCGGCACAGGAAUCGGAUAUAACAUCAUCUGGGUACCCAUGGCCAGCUGUGACUUCUCCAUCCGCACCUACACCUAUGCAGACACCCCUGAUGAUUUCCAGUUGCACAACUUCAGCCUCCCAGAGGAAGAUACCAAGCUCAAGGUUCCUGGAUGCCUAUGCUGAGCACAAGUUACAGUUCUGGGCAGUGACAGCUGAAAAUGAGCCUUCUGCUGGGCUGUUGAGUGGAUACCCCUUCCAGUGCCUGGGCUUCACCCCUGAACAUCAGCGAGACUUCAUUGCCCGUGACCUAGGUCCUACCCUUGCCAACGGUACUCACCACAAUGUCCGCCUACUCAUGCUGGAUGACCAACGCUUGCUGCUGCCCCACUGGGCAAAGGUGGUACUGACAGACCCAGAAGCAGCUAAGUAUGUUCAUGGUAUUGCUGUACAUUGGUACCUGGACUUUCUGGCUCCAGCCAAAGCCACCCUAAGGGAGACACACCACCUGUUCCCCAACACCAUGCUCUUUGCCUCAGAGGCCUGUGUGGGUUCCAAGUUCUGGGAGCAGAGUGUGCGGCUAGGCUCCUGGGAUCGAGGGAUGCAGUACAGCCACAGCAUCAUCACAAACCUCCUGUACCAUGUGGUCGGCUGGACCGACUGGAACCCAUCAUUGUAGACAUCACCAAGCACACGUUUUACAAACAGCCCAUGUUCUACCACCUUGGCCACUUCAGCAAGUUCAUUCCUGAGGGCUCCCAGAGAGUGGGGCUGGUUGCCAGUCAGAAGAACGACCCGGACGCAGUGGCACUGAUGCAUCCCGAUGGCUCUGCUGUUGUGGUCGUGCUAAACCGCUCCUCUAAGGAUGUGCCUCUUACCAUCAAGGAUCCUGCUGUGGGCUUCCUGGAGACAAUCUCACCUGGCUACUCCAUUCACACCUACCUGUGGCGUCGCCAGUGAUGGAGCAGAUACUCAAGGAGGCACUGGGCUCAGCCUGGGCAUUAAAGGGACAGAGUCAGCUCA
Long non-coding RNA from Homo sapiens (human), 1159 nucleotides. Ensembl annotates it as glucosylceramidase beta 1 like, pseudogene. Its record names the gene GBA1LP. The record is from Ensembl. Lineage: Eukaryota; Metazoa; Chordata; Mammalia; Primates; Hominidae.